UUCCCAAGAUGGUGUUUGGCC
RNAcentral lists this non-coding RNA (21 nucleotides) under Arabidopsis thaliana (thale cress). Lineage: Eukaryota; Viridiplantae; Streptophyta; Magnoliopsida; Brassicales; Brassicaceae. The record is from RNAcentral.